Molecule: transfer RNA, 64 nt
Filed under: Monotoma quadricollis
Lineage: Eukaryota; Metazoa; Arthropoda; Insecta; Coleoptera; Monotomidae
Description: tRNA-Asn
Source: RNAcentral
UUAAUUGAAACCAAAAUAGAGGUAAAUCACUGUUAAUGAUUAAACUGGAGCCCCCCCAAUUAAC